RNAcentral lists this ribosomal RNA (548 nucleotides) under uncultured Glomeromycotina. RNAcentral describes it as "SSU rRNA". It matches the Rfam family "Eukaryotic small subunit ribosomal RNA", at positions 548 to 1098 of the family's 1831-position model. Lineage: Eukaryota; Fungi; Glomeromycota. The record is from RNAcentral.
UUGGAGGGCAAGUCUGGUGCCAGCAGCCGCGGUAAUUCCAGCUCCAAUAGCGUAUAUUAAAGUUGUUGCAGUUAAAAAGCUCGUAGUUGAAUUUCGAGACCGGUUUAUUGGUCGUGCUUUUGUACGUACUGGUAUUAUUGGUUUCUCCUUUCUGACGAACUAUAAUGCCAUUAAUUUGGUGUUAUGGGGAAUCAGGACUGUUACUUUGAAAAAAUUAGAGUGUUUAAAGCAGGCUCACGCUUGAAUACAUUAGCAUGGAAUAACGGAAUAGGACGUUUGAUUCUAUUUUGUUGGUUUCUAGGAUCGACGUAAUGAUUAAUAGGGAUAGUUGGGGGCAUUAGUAUUCAAUUGUCAGAGGUGAAAUUCUUGGAUUUAUUGAAGACUAACUACUGCGAAAGCAUUUGCCAAGGAUGUUUUCAUUAAUCAAGAACGAAAGUUAGGGGAUCGAAGACGAUCAGAUACCGUCGUAGUCUUAACCAUAAACUAUGCCGACUAGGGAUCGGAUGAUGUUAAUUUUUUAAUGACUCAUUCGGCGCCUUACGGGAAAC